AGCUCCAAUAGCGUAUAUUAAAGUUGUUGCAGUUAAAAAGCUCGUAGUUGGACUUGUGCGUACCCCCGAUGUCCUUUUUGGUACGUUCGGGGGUGUGCAUCCUUGGGUGGAACCUGCGUGGCAUUAGGUUGUCGUGUAGGGGAUGCUCAUCGUUUACUGUGAAAAAAUUAGAGUGUUCAAAGCAGGCUUACGCCGUUGAAUAUAUUAGCAUGGAAUAAUAAGAUAGGACCUUGGUACUAUUUUGUUGGUUUGCGCACCGAGGUAAUGAUUAACAGGGACGGUUGGGGGUAUUCGUAUUCCAUUGUCAGAGGUGAAAUUCUUGGAUUUUUGGAAGACGAACUACUGCGAAAGCAUUUACCAAGGAUGUUUUCA
This 372-nucleotide ribosomal RNA is filed under the name uncultured eukaryote. Its description in RNAcentral is "partial small subunit ribosomal RNA". It matches the Rfam family "Eukaryotic small subunit ribosomal RNA", at positions 587 to 972 of the family's 1831-position model. The record is from RNAcentral.